GAGAUGAGUACUUAUAUGGUGGAGGUGGAGGAGAUGGGUACUUGUAGGGAGGAGGAGGAGACUUGUACUUGUAAACUGGUGGAGGAGGAGACUUGUACUUGUAGACUGGUGGUGGUGGAGAUGAGUACUUAUAUGGUGGAGGUGGAGGAGAUGGGUACUUGUAGGGAGGAGGAGGAGACUUGUACUUGUAAACUGGAGGUGGAGGAGAUGAGUACUUGUAUGGGUUCUUUGGUGGUGGUGGAGAGUGAUAGUAGUAGGGAGGAGGAGGUGAGUGCUUUGGUGGUGGAGGAGAGUGGUAAUAGUAGGGAGGAGGAGGUGAGUGUUUUGGUGGAGGUGGAGAGUGGUAGUAAUAAGGAGGAGGAGGUGAAUGCUUUGGUGGGGGAGGAGAGUGGUAGUAAUAAGGAGGAGGAGGUGAGUGCUUUGGUGGAGGUGGAGAGUGGUAGUAAUAGGGUGGAGGAGGUGAAUGCUUAGGUGGUGGGGGAGAGUGGUAGUAAUAAGGAGGAGGAGGUGAAUGCUUUGGUGGGGGUGGAGAGUGGUAGUAAUAUGGGGGAGGAGGUGAAUGCUUUGGUGGUGGUGGAGAGUGGUAGUAAUAGGGUGGAGGAGGUGAGUGUUUAGGUGGAGGUGGAGAGUGGUAGUAAUAGGGUGGAGGAGGUGAAUGCUUAGGUGGUGGGGGAGAGUGGUAGUAAUAAGGAGGAGGAGGUGAAUGCUUUGGUGGGGGUGGAGAGUGGUAGUAAUAGGGUGGAGGAGGUGAAUGCUUUGGUGGUGGUGGAGAGUGGUAGUAAUAAGGAGGAGGAGGUGAGUGCUUAGGUGGAGGUGGAGAGUGGUAGUAAUAAGGAGGAGGAGGUGAAUGCUUUGGUGGUGGGGGAGAGUGGUAGUAAUAAGGAGGAGGCGGUGAGUGUUUUGGUGGAGGUGGAGAGUGGUAAUAGUAUGGAGGAGGUGGUGAGUGUUUUGGUGGUGGAG
This 960-nucleotide long non-coding RNA is filed under the name Phaseolus vulgaris (common bean). RNAcentral's name for it is "long non-coding RNA (PVUL_LNC003538)". The record is from RNAcentral. Lineage: Eukaryota; Viridiplantae; Streptophyta; Magnoliopsida; Fabales; Fabaceae.